RNAcentral lists this microRNA precursor (102 nucleotides) under Marmota monax (woodchuck). Lineage: Eukaryota; Metazoa; Chordata; Mammalia; Rodentia; Sciuridae. The record is from RNAcentral.
AGUGGGAUAGCUGGGUCAAAUGGUGGUUCCAUUCCACGUUUUUAAGGAAUCUCCAUACUGCUUUCCAAAUUGGUUGUACCAAUUUGCAGUCCCACCAGCAAU